ACAAUUAUCAAUCGUUUCUUAUGGUAAAGAAAAACCAGCAGUAUUAGGUCACAACGAAGCAGCUUAUGCUAAAAACCGUCGUGCAGUAGUUACUUACGCUGGAUACUAAUCCCAUCUAAUGACGGCUGAAUCAUCAGCCGUUUUUUAUUU
Gilliamella apicola is the source of this 150-nucleotide non-coding RNA. Lineage: Bacteria; Pseudomonadati; Pseudomonadota; Gammaproteobacteria; Orbales; Orbaceae. The record is from Rfam.